GAUGAAGAACGUAGCGAAAUGCGAUAAGUAAUGCGAAUUGCAGAAUUCCGUGAGUCAUCGAGUCUUUGAACGCACAUUGCGCCCCCUGGUAUUCCGGGGGGCAUGCCUGUCCGAGCGUCAUUGCUGCCCUCAAGCACGGCUUGUGUGUUGGGCCCCGUCCUCCGAUCCCGGGGGACGGGCCCGAAAGGCAGCGGCGGCACCGCGUUCGGUCCUCGAGCGUAUGGGGCUUUGUCACCCGCUCUGUAGGCCCGGCCGGCGCUUGCCGAUCAACCCAAAUUUUUAUCCAGGUUGACCUCGGAUCAGGUAGGGAUACCCGCUGAACUUAAGCAUAUCAAUAAGCGGAGGA
RNAcentral lists this unclassified non-coding RNA (346 nucleotides) under soil metagenome. RNAcentral describes it as "partial contains 5.8S ribosomal RNA, internal transcribed spacer 2, and large subunit ribosomal RNA". The stretch from base 1 to 120 matches the Rfam family "5.8S ribosomal RNA", at positions 35 to 154 of the family's 154-position model. The record is from RNAcentral.